GCCCCGCCCCAAUCCCCGCCUCGCCCCCGCCCCGCCUCCUUGGAGCGGGCCCCGCCUUCAUGCUCACCGAGCUGGCUCCGCCCCCGCACGCGAUUUCCCGGCUUUCGGGACCUGCCGAACUGUGUUCCCGCGGGGGUUCGUUGGGGCGCGCGAUCCAGUUGACUUACUCGGAGGCGCAAGAUCCCGCGAGAGCAGGAGCUUGACCAUUUUUCCUAAGGCGGGAGCGGAGCGCUGUGGCUUAGCUGUUGGAGAAAGGUGGCUGCAGUUACCAAGAGUGAAGACACCUGGAAAGAAGUUGUCGUCACUAAGAGUGUCUUCUGGAAGGCUGCUGGUCUGCGAUGGAGAAAACUGAGACUCAAAGAGAUUUAUUUUCCUUCCCAACACAGUAGUAAAAUGGGCAGAAAUGAAAGGAGCCUGCAGGUUGAACCCAGGGACUCAUUAACUGACUGAUGAACUGAGCCAAGCAAGGACUAGAAAGACCCUUUUCUACCUUCUUUGUUAAGCGAUCUCUGAGUGUGUGAUUUCUACAUCCCACAAGUGGAUUAUCAUUGGAUCAGUAUUAAGUUUCUAUAUAUGGUUGUCAGUUUCUAUGACAUCUGUCAUGUUCCACUGGUCUGUUAGUCUGUUUCCAUCCCAAUAUCACACUCUCUUAAAUUUUAUAACUUUAUAAUGAAUCUAUAUCUGGCAGGGCAAGCAGUAUCCUCUCUGUUUUUCUUCUUUAAGAAGAUCUUAACUUGUCUUGGAUCUUCCACAUACAUAUUUAAAUCAUUUUGUCAAUGUCAAGAACUGUGUGAGUUCUGAGAUUUUGCCAUACUUACAAGCCACCAAGUUAGCUUACCACAGUUUCAUGAAUGCUGGAAGAAGACACGAACUCCUGAGUCAGAGAUAAAAGACUUUACUUAAGGCACAGCAAGCAGCAUGAGCUUCCUAUUUACAUCUAUUCUCCUUGUCUCCAAGUCCCAUGGGGCAAUGUGGAUGGGCUCAGAUGGAUGCCUGCAUAUGCAUUGGGUGCCUUAUAGAAAAGGAACCCUAAGCUUAGGGAACCUGAAUCUUUUAUACUGGGCAGUAAGUAUGAAGGCUGUUUGCUCCAGAGGGAGACACUAUACCUUCCAACACUGUUCGUUAUACAAACAUCCCAGACAAGUUAGUCCAGAACAAAAGCAGUCAAUGUCUCUUAUCUUUUAGUUUUUAAAAUAUUUUCUUAUUUUAAAAACCUCUGCUAUAUCUGCAGUGUUCCCCUUUUUCAUUCCUAAUACUGUUAAUUUUUACCUUACCUCUUUUGCCCUGGAUCCUUUCUAGAGGUUUGUCUUCUUUUCAAAGACCAACAUUUCAUUUUGUUGCUCCUCUAUUAUAUGUUUGUCUCUAUUUCCUUAUUUUCUAUAUUAUUUUGCUCCCCAACUUUUUGUGGGGGGUUAUUUGUUAUUUAAUUCCAGUAUCUAAAAAAAUUUAUUAUACUCUUCUCUUUAACUCUUGAGUUACCAGAAUUGUUUUUAAAAAUUUGCAAACAGAGAGGAUUAUUUUUAGCUCUUAUUUUAUUUUUAAUUUGUGUUCUCAUAGUAAACUAUCAGCGGCAGCAAACAAUUCCAAAUCUCAAAGGGCUUAACACACUACAAGUUUAUUUCUUGUUCAUUUGAAGUCCAACCUGAAUGUUUCUGUAUAUGACACAGAGAAUAAGCUUCUUCCCUUUUAGGCUGCCAAAAUUCUCAACACGCUGCUCCUUACGUUUUUGAAGAAGAGGAAGCAAGAGCGUGGAAGGUUGCACAGAAUAUUCUGUAUUCAGGCCUGACAGUACAUGCAACACUUUUGCUCACAUUCCAUAAGACAGACCUAAGCCUCCUAAAUUUACCAGGGGCUGGAAAUGCCGUCUAACUCUCAUGUCCAGGACAAAUAGGAAAAGCAGAAUCCCUGCCAUAAUUUCUAAUGUAAUUAUAUUAUUAUCAGAAAAUGUGUUCUGUAUGAUACCAAUUCUUUAGGACAUGUGAGACACAGUCAAUUUUUGUAAAUGUUCUGUGUGUGCCUGAAAAUAAUGUAUAUUUUCCAAUUACUGAAGGCAGGCUUCUAUAUACAUCAAUGAAAUCAAACUUUUUAAUUGUAUUGUUGAAAUUAUCUACAUUCUUACUGGUCUUCCUUUUUAAAAAAAAAAUUUCCUCCAUUUUAUUUUAUUUUUUAUUGAAAUACAUUUGAUAUAUAGCAUUGUGUAGAUUGAAGGUUGAAACAUGUUGAUUUGAUACAUUUAUAUAUCAUAAUUUGAUUGCCAUUGUAGUCUUUAUCAUAUCACAUAUUAUCACUUCUUUUUUGUGGUGGGAAUAAUUAAGAUCUACUCUCUUAGCAAGUCUGGUGAUUAUAAUACAAUAUUGUUGUCUGUAUUCAGUACACUGUGCUUUAAAUCUACAGGACUUAUUUAUCUACUGGUUACAACCUUAUUGGUUGUCUUAUCUACUUUAAGUAUUAAUGACCAAGACAUAUGAGGUAGAAAUUUCCCACAAUGUUGAUGAACUUGUCAAUUUCUCUUUGUAGUUAUUUUAUGUUAUUUAUUUUGAGGCUAUGAUAUUAAACAGUAUACAUUUACAAAUGUGGUAUCCUUUUGAUUAUAUCCUGUUAUUUUUAUACAGUUCCCUUCUUUAUUGGUGGUGUUUUUUCUUUAAAGAAUACAUUGAUACUUACUAUGGCUACAUUACUUUCUUUGGGUUAAAUUUUCCUGAUUGUUCUAAAAUUCUGACUAGAUAUAUUUUGGACUUUCUCUGUUCUCCUUGUGUCUUCAAUUCUUUUUUAAAAAUUUUUUAUCUUUUUAUCUUGAUUGCUUUAUUCUGUGUAAUUUCUCCUUUUAAGUAAAAAUCUUCCAUUUUAUUAAUUUUCUCCUCCAUUGUAACUAUCUGCUAUUUAACUCUUACAUUGAAUACUUACUUUCAAUUAUCAUACUUUUUAUUUCUAGGAGAUCUCUUCCUCCAAUUCUGCCUAAUCUCUUGCUGAUUAGUCAUAUUUUUACUUCCCUCCCCUCCAUUUUAAAACUUCUUUAAACAUAUAAAUAUAUUUAAUUUAUUUUCUAAUAUAUUCCUUGUAUUUGUACAUUUCCAAUAUUCCAAGUUCCUGUUGUUUAUAAUCUAUGUGACACUUGAUUAUGGUGGCCUAGUUUCUCAUGUGUUUUGUGAUUUUUCUUUUAUUGUGAACUUGUAUUCAAAAUAAAACACAAUCUUUUGAACUUUUAAAAUCCAUUCCUCAAGGGAGGAUUUGUGUUUCUUUCUGCCAUGGGUAUGAUGACAUUACAGACCUGAGUCCAGUUUAAAUAGGUCCAGAAAUGAAGAAUUUUAGUGUAUGAUAUUCCUUACCACGUAAACAGUAUAAAUUUUGAUCCUAAAUCCAUGUCUGAACCUUCCAGUGGCUAUAAAUUCUCAGGAGAGCUUUUCUCUCCUUCUCUUCUAGACAGUUUUCUUUCCUGCUUACCUCUGUGAAGGGUUAUUUAUUCACUUGUUUCUAGUGAACUCUUUUCCUUGUGAAUGGCUUUUCCUGAGCAUGGCUUUUAUGCUAGAUGGAGCUCUCUGCUCUUGGAAGAUGUACAGUUCUGGGCAGCCUGGGUAUAAAGGUUCUCCCAGGGCACCCAACUGCUUCAGUUCUCACUUCUUUCCCUAUAUUCAUACCACUGCUUUCC
This is a long non-coding RNA of Orcinus orca (killer whale), 3646 nucleotides long. RefSeq lists it as uncharacterized. The transcript is spliced from 4 exons. The record is from RefSeq and is a predicted model, not a curated record. NCBI's taxonomy places the organism in Eukaryota, Metazoa, Chordata, Mammalia, Artiodactyla, Delphinidae.